RNAcentral lists this long non-coding RNA (9056 nucleotides) under Triticum aestivum (bread wheat). Its description in RNAcentral is "long non-coding RNA (TAES_LNC017351)". The record is from RNAcentral. Lineage: Eukaryota; Viridiplantae; Streptophyta; Magnoliopsida; Poales; Poaceae.
CUCUGUUUUCUGCUUCAUAGUCUGUUUUUUCCAGUGUGUGCAUGUCUGCACCUUUUGUUUUACUAAUAAUUUUUAUAAAUUGUAUAACAGUUUCUUACUAUGGAUCACAUGCAAAUUUAUUGAAGCAAUAUACCCUUACAAAAUCUGAAGUAAUAUGCUAUACUGGGCUUAGAUUGCAGAUGGCAUGACUGUACAAGUACGCAUUGUGGACCUGGUAUUGGAAACACUUGGAAAGUCUGAAUACUUAUUUGCAUAUUCAGUUUUAUUUCUGAUGACAAAUGGGGCUAAACCUUUUUCUUUUGUCCUGAAAUUACCUUUAGGCCUUUUCUGGUGACUUACUUGCAUAUUCAGUUUUUUCCUAUUAUUUUUUUAGAGAGUAAAACUGGAUGCAUCAUUAAGGACAGGAAUUUUAGUUCCUAAUUUCUUUUCAGGUCACCUCCACUAGCAGCUAUAACAUUUCGUAAUUUUGUACUGUACACAAAAAACGAAAAAUGGGGUGCUUUGGGCAGCUAAGGCUCUUAAAUUUGGUCAUAGAUGGACUGUAGGAAAAGGAACCAAGAUUAGGUUUUGGGAAGACAAUUGGUUUGGCGCCUCCCCUUUAUCUGUUCAAUUUUGGCCUCUAUAUUCUAUUUGUCACCAACAGUGUGUGUCUGUAGCUGAUGUUUGGGAUGGUCAAAACAUCAAACUUACUUUUCGUAGGAUCUUUAACCCUGCCAUGAUGGAAGAUCGGUACUGCCUAGAGCAGAUCAUCUUGGGAAUUGCCUAUACUGAUUGUGAAGAUGCUCUACAGUAUUAUUAACUUUAGAGGGGCUAAACUUAUCUUUAUUCCCUCAGUUUGGUCUAUUGUGGUGCCCCCAAGAGUGCAGGUUUUCUUAUGGCUUUUAUCUCACAAUAAACUUAUGACAAAAGACAAUCUCAGUAAGAGGGGGAUUGGAAACCUCCCUGAGUGUGUCUUCUGUUCAGAACAAGAAACUAUUACACACCUUUUCUUUGAUUGUGUGGUCGCUAAAAACAUGUGGCAACACAUCUGUAAUUUCUUUGUAAUUAGUCUGGGAGAUGACUUCCUUUCAUUUGCCAGAUACUGGCCUGCUAGUAAGAAUCACGCUGCUAUUAAUUCUGUCUGUGCAUGUGCUUAUGGAGUAUAUGGAAGAUUGGAAAUUCCCAUAUCUUCAAAAAUGCCAUGUGGACGGACAUGAAUAGUUUGGUGUAUGAUACAGGUGACUAUCAGGCGGUGGAUGAUCCUUUUCAAAAAACAUCAUUUGGAGGGGCUGAAAAAAAAUCUCCAAUAUGAUAAAUCUGCUCAUACAAACCCCCUUCAGGCUGGGGGUGGGCUGAUCUAUGGAGGAGUGACGCAGCUGGGCAAUGCUGAGGGGCUGGAGAGGUCAAUGCUCAACAAGUUGUCGCUGUUUUCAAAACCUGCAGAUGGCAACGAACCUUCCUCUCCUCCCAGAAGAGAUUGGAACCUCAAGCAUGUGGUGUCCAGCCCAACUACGCCGCUAGAUCUUACUGCUUCUCCAACACAAUCCCCUCUGAAGAAGAAGAAGGGGGCUGAAACAGUCUGGAAAUGAAGAUGGACUUCGGCUACGAACCUAACUCCAUUGCAAUCGUUAAUUUAGCUUUAGUUUUUGCUUUUCAAUCUGCUCAGGCUGCGGCCUUAUGAGCUGUAAUAAUCAGUAGAACUUUGCUAGAUGUUUUUAGUUUUCCCUUCGGAUGCGCUGUAGGUGCUUUUGUUCUCUGUAUCUCUAGUUUCGUUCAAGCAAUGGAACCAGGGGGGCUUUGGCCCUCCAAAUAGUCUAAAAAAACGAAAAAUGGCAGGUAUUCUUGCCAGAUUAAAGUUGCACUUGAACUUGUAAAAUCAUUGUUUUCAGCCACUUGAUUGAAAUAUCAUUUAUAUAGGUUGUAAAUUUGAAAGAAGCAAGGGAUUUCUCCAGGAGCACAGGAUUCAUUUAUGCUUUCAUCGUUUGAUACUCUCCUAGUUUAUCCGAGCAAAUUAAUGUCUUGUGCUGUUACCUAAUGUACUAGGACAUAAUCAAUGAAGAAUAGUAUACACAAUUUCUGAUCUCCCAUAUUUUUUGUCUAAAUUCACAGAAAUUGGAAUGGCAGUUACUUUCAGUUGAUCUUUUACCCAACCCUGACAUGUUUGCCGAUACAUGAUUUAACUCUUCAAGCAGUCAAGAUAACAAGCGAGAUGAUGAGGGAGCAAAGCAAAUGUUCUUUGGCGGUGAAAAGUUUUUGGCAGGAAUAUCAGGGGAUUCUAAUGUGAGUGUCUCUGUCUCGAAUAUGAUUUGUCAACUUUGAGAAUUUGUUAAUUGAUGUUGGAAGUUCGGCAUGUCUUGACUUCCUCGCUUAUAAAUUUUGUCGAGCAUCAGAUAACUCUGCAACGAAUGGAGCAGAAGAGUCCACUUGUCCUGGAGGUUCAGCUGCAUGUUACUGAAGCUCUCUAUCCUGCUUUAAGUGAACCAUGUAAUAGUUAUUGACCAUAAAACUUUAGCUUGUCGCUCAGUUCCUGUUUGUAUCAGUCAAACCUGAAACGCAUUUUUGGCAGGUUUAUGGGCCUUUCUUUGAUUCAUGACUGGGGUAUCUGCGUGCUUAGAUAGAGCAGAUUUAGAUCCAAAGUCUCAACAGGUUUCUUUUUAUCAUGUAGUUUUUAUGAUUGCAUUCUAUGUAGUAGAAUUAUCAGAUAUAACACAUAUGGAUAUUCUUUGCAUUCUUACUCUUUUCCUUCUCCUAUUUUGCCAACAUGCAGAAGCAGCAGGAUCUUCCAUGGUAAACAGAGUUCCUUUGCAUUGAAGAUGCUGGUAAGGACUAGCAGCCCAAUCAACUUUGAAUAUGCUAUUUAUAGACAUCUAUAGUGACUUGUUUGUUGAAAUUUUGUUUGCGUCAACAGAGUUUUAGCCUGACCUUGUAAUGCAAUCACUGUUCUUCUCACGGGUACAUUUUUUUGCUUGUCUAUUGAGUACUGUACGCUUCUCUGAUUACAUAAUUAUUCAGGCUUUCUUGUCAGAGAAUUUUUUCUAUUGUAGUCACCUAGUGUUUUUCUCAUUAUUUUUGAAGGGUAGCAUUUCAGACAGGGAGAGUUCAAAAAACAUGUCUUGCAUAAAGGUUGCUGGGCUGUUUCUGAGGUAAGAUACAUACCUUGUUUAUAGUGACGAAACUACACAAGUCAUGAAGUUUAUAGUCAUUUACUUACUCUCUUAAUUUAGAUGGAAAUCCAGUACAAUUUAUAUCUAUGCACUUCUUAUGUUACUUUGGCAAUGUGAACUUCUGAUAUAACCGUGAUAGAGAUUUUAUUUGGGCUAUGGAUAUAAUACUUCUUUCCAUCUUUUUGUCAAAACCUGUUAGGAAUACACACCUUUGCUGUGUCUCAUGUGUGAAUAUUAUUUCUACGUCGACACAUUUUUUCGUCCUCCGUGGACAUUGAUACAAGUUUUUUUUAAUCAUUUAUAGAAGCUGUUCCACCAGAAUCUUUGCCUAUGCCUGAUUUCGGUGAAUACUGAUUAUGCCUUCGUUUUUGUACUACUGCUUGUAUCAUAUCAAGUUAUCAACCGUCUCAGGGCCUAGUCUAUUAUGCUACUUUAUCAGGUUAAAACAUUUGUCCUCCAAUUUAUCCAUUUGGGAAUCAAUUCUUGAAAUUUGCUGCUGGUAUUUCUUUCUUUUCAUUUUAUUGUCUUGAGACCACUCCUCUCCAUCAUCUCCAAAGUGUGCUUCGAAAGCAGUCAUCACAUGCUAGCCUCUUACGGUGUGUCUUCUUCAACAUUAACAGUGGAACAUAAUGUUCAACUUUUCUGUUUGAUUAAAUAUUGCCUGUAAUUUUGCAUUUUAGGUGACCUUUCUGUUAGAUGUGUAUAGUCUCUCUUGCCUUUACCAUACACAUGUAUAUGUACUCGCACUUGGCCCUCCUGUGAAUGUAGUUGCCCAUUCCUAACAUUGUAUCAGAUGCUUAGGUUCCUCUCCCGCUCCCGCACGCUCGCAGCUCCGUGCCUAGCUCCCCCGUCGCCGGCCUCCCUCUACCUCGUUGCCGGCGCCGGCCACCUCCUCCCUCGCCCCCGGCUCUCUCCCUCCCCGCCACCACGUCGUCUCGCCCCGGCCUGCGCUACCCCGAGCUCGGCCGCGGCCUGCCGUCGCUGUCCCGCGCCGCCCCGAGCGCGGCCGCAGCCUGCCGUUGCCGCCUCGCGCNNNNNNNNNNNNNNNNNNNNNNNNNNNNNNNNNNNNNNNNNNNNNNNNNNNNNNNNNNNNNNNNNNNNNNNNNNNNNNNNNNNNNNNNNNNNNNNNNNNNNNNNNNNNNNNNNNNNNNNNNNNNNNNNNNNNNNNNNNNNNNNNNNNNNNNNNNNNNNNNNNNNNNNNNNNNNNNNNNNNNNNNNNNNNNNNNNNNNNNNNNNNNNNNNNNNNNNNNNNNNNNNNNNNNNNNNNNNNNNNNNNNNNNNNNNNNNNNNNNNNNNNNNNNNNNNNNNNNNNNNNNNNNNNNNNNNNNNNNNNNNNNNNNNNNNNNNNNNNNNNNNNNNNNNNNNNNNNNNNNNNNNNNNNNNNNNNNNNNNNNNNNNNNCAGCGCGAGCCCGAUCCCGAUCUGGAUCGGGGUCUCCUGUAGCAGUUUACUAUAGCAGUUGACAAAAAAAAGAGCUCCUCAUGUCUUCUUCGGGCUAUGUCGCCGUUCCUCGGUGCUCAGUGAUCUUCGAUGGCACCAACUAUGCCGAGUUUGCGGGCUUUAUGUGUAUCCACAUGCGCGGUCUCCUUCUGUGGGGUGUUCUCUCUGGCGAGGUCCUCUGUCCGCCUUGCCCUGUUGCUCCAGUGGCUCCUACCCCGCCAGCAUCGCCGGUUCUUGCUGCUGAUGCUUCUCAGGCUGAUUGUGAUGCCGCCAAGGCUCUCGAUGAUACUGCAGUUGAUGCCUAUGAUCAGCAGAUGUCAACCUAUUUGGAUGCCCUUUCUGCCUAUCGUGAUGAUCUGUCUGCUUACACUCAGUGGUGCAAUGAUGAUGCUCGUGCUGCUGCUGUUCUUACUGCGAGUGUCCUUCCUCAGUUCGCCUUGGAGUUCAUGGGACUUGGCACAGUUGGAGCGAUGUGGUCUUAUCUCUGUCAGUGCUAUCAGCCCUCUGGUGAUGCUCUCUACCUAUCUGUGGUGCGUCAGGAGCAUGCACUCCAGCAAGGUGAUUCCUCUGUUGAUGAGUUCUAUUCACAGUGCUCUGCCAUCUGGCGUCAGCUUGACUCUCUUCGGACCGUCGUUUGUGGAACUUGCCGUUGCUGUCGGACUACACGGUCCAAUUUGGAGUUUCAGCGGGUUCACGAGUUCUUAUCUCGUCUUCGCUCUGAGUUCGAGCCUCGUCGUGCUCACCUGCUCGCUCGUGGUCGUGUUCCUCUCUCGGAGGUACUUGCUGAGCUUCGUGCUGAAGAGACCCGCCUACGCUCUGCUGGGUUACUUGUGGUUCCAUCAGUGUUGGCCGCCCGAGCUCCUAUGCCACCUGCUCGCCUCACCGCUCCACCGCUCCUGCCUACUCCUUCAGGGGGGUGGGUCGUCCUUCUUAUGCUGAGAGGGGCCGGUCGCACCGUGACACCUUCUGUGGCUACUGCUCUCGGCCAGGUCACCCAGAGUCUGAUUGCCGUGAGAAGAAGCGAGACCAGAGGCGCUCCUCUUCCAGUGGGACUCCUGGAUCCUCCUCGACCCCGUCACUCACUGACCAGGACAUUAUGAGGCUCAAGCGUCUCUUAGCUUCCUCAGGCUCUUCGUCGACCGUUUUCGCUGCUGCUGUGACUGCAGCCACUGCUCCACCACCGCAGGCAUCUACACAGUCAGGUACAUCUUCGUGGGUUCUGGAUUCUGGAGCCUCUUUUCAUAUGUCUUCUGAUUCUUCCGUGCUGUCUUCUCUCCGACCUCUUGAUUCGCCUGUUAAUGUUCUUACCGCUGAUGGCACACCUCUUCCUGUUGCUAGCCGUGGUCUUCUUUCCACUCCAUAUUUUUUGUUCCUAGUGUUUCACAUGUUCCUCGCCUCACCAUGAAUCUUUUUUCCGCUGCCCAACUUACUGAUUCUGGUUGUCGUGUCAUUCUUGAUACCGACUCUUACUCCAUUCAGGAUCGUUGCACCAAGGCUUUGGUUGGUGCUGGCCCCCGGCGCCGUGAGUCAGAGGGCCUUUGGGAGGUUGACUGGCUUUGUGUUCCUUCCACUGUCACCACUUCAGCCAGCUCUCAUGCUCUUGCUGCCGCUUCGUCUCGUCCUUCCAGCAGUGGCAUCAUCGCCUUGGUCACAUAUGUGGCUCUCGCUUGUCUUCUUUAGUUCGUCAGGGCCUCUUAGGGUCUGUAUCUGGAGAUGUUUCUUUACAUUGUAAUGGCUGCAGACUUGGCAAACAGACCCAGUUACCUUAUCCUACCAGUGAGUCGGUAUCUCAGCGUCCUUUUGACUUAGUUCAUUCUGAUGUAUGGGGUCCUGCUCCCUUUGAUUCGAAAGGUGGCCACCGCUACUAUAUCUUGUUUAUUGAUGAUUUCUCUCGCUACACUUGGCUCUACUUUAUGAAAUCUCGUAGCGAGGUUCUCUCUAUAUACAAACGUUUUGCUGCCAUGGUUCACACCCAGUUUUCCACGCCCAUUCGUACUUUUCGUGCUGACUCCGUUGGUGAGUUUAUCUCCCAGCUGUUGCGUGGUUUUCUUGCGGAACAGGGUACUCUUGCCCAGUUCUCAUGUCCUGGUGCACAUGCUCAGAAUGGCGUUGCCGAACGUAAGCAUCGUCAUCUACUUGAGACGACUCGUGCUCUGAUGAUUGCCGCUUCUCUCCCACCCCAUUUUUGGGCUGAGGCUGUUUCUGCAUCCACCUAUCUCAUCAACAUACAGCCAUCGACUGCUCUGCAGGGUGGUAUUCCUAUGGAGUGUCUCACUGGUCGCUCUCCUAACUACUCAGCUCUUCGUAUGUUUGGAUGUGUGUGCUAUGCCCUUCUUGCCCCACGAGAACGCACCAAACUGACUGCUCAGUCGGUUGAGUGUGUUUUUCUUGGCUACAGUGAUGAGCACAAGGGCUAUCGCUGCUGGGAUCCUGUUGGUCGUCGUUUGCGCAUCUCGCGUGAUGUGACCUUUGACGAGUCUCGCUCUUACUACCCACGUCCUUCUACCUCGAGCUUCUCUGUGGACGAUCUUUCUUUUCUUCUUCUCCCUGAUACACCCUGCUAUGUGCCUCCUCAUGUUUUUCCUCCUCCGCCUGCACCUCUCCUUCCUUCUCCUUCACCACCGACACCAUCUUCCCCAUCCUCCUCCUCCAACUCUCCACCAUCAUCUCCAGUCCAUCGCCCUCUCUUACCAUUUCCUCUUCACUAUACUCGUCGCCCUCGUUCUGAGGAUGUUUCCCCUGAUGCGCCUUCCACCUCUGGUGCACCUCCUUUCACGCCUCCCCCGGUUCAUAACCUCCGUGCUCGGCCUCGCCCCCGCCUGAUCGCUACUCUCCUGAUCGGUACGGUCACUCUGUUAUUGCUGAGCCCACUUCCUAUCGGACUGCCAUGACUCAGCCUAAAUGGAAGCUUGCGAUGGCCGAAGAGCUUGCUGCCCUUGAGCGCUCUGGCACAUGGGAUCUGGUUUCCCUCCCUUCCGGUGUCCGUCCCAUCACCUGCAAGUGGGUCUACAAGAUUAAGACUCGCUCUGAUGGUUCUCUUGAGCGCUACAAAGCGCGCCUUGUGGCCCGUGGUUUUCAGCAGGAGCAGGGACGCGAUUAUGAUGAGACAUUCGCUCCUGUGGCCCAUAUGACCACUGUUCGCACUCUUCUUGCUGUUGCUUCUGUUCGUCAUUGGUCUAUCUCUCAACUUGAUGUUCAGAACACUUUUCUUAAUGGCGAGUUGCGUGAGGAGGUCUAUAUGCAGCCCCCACCGGGGUACUAUGCUCCUGAUGGUUUGGUCUGUCGACUUCGCCGCUCCCUCUAUGGUCUUAAACAGGCCCCUCGCGCCUGGUUUGAGCGCUUCGCCUCUAUGGUGACUGCCGCUGGCUUCUUGCCCAAUGAUCAUGAUCCCGCGUUGUUUGUUCACACGUCUCCUCGUGGUCGGACUCUGCUCCUUCUCUAUGUUGAUGACAUGAUCAUCACUGGUGACGACUCUGACUACAUAGCCUUUGUUAAGGCUCGCCUUCGCGACCAGUUCCUCAUGACUGAUCUUGGUACACUUCGCUAUUUUCUUGGGAUUGAGAUCUCCUCGACCUCUGAUGGCUUCUACAUCUCCCAAGAAAAAUAUAUUCAGGAUCUUCUUGCUCGCGCUGCUCUCGGUGAUGAGCGCAUAGUUGUGACUCCUAUGGAACUCAACGUUCAGCUUCGUGCUUCUGAUGGUGACCCUCUCCCUAACCCCACUCGCUAUCGUCACCUUGUUGGCAGUCUUGUCUAUCUUGCUGUUACGCGUCCUGAUAUCUCCUAUCCUAUUCAUAUCCUGAGUCAGUUCGUUUCAGCCCCCACCUCUGUCCACUAUAGUCAUCUCCUCCGUGUUCUACGAUAUCUUCGUGGCACGCUCUCUCAGCGCCUUUUCUUUCCCCGCUCCAGCUCUCUUGAGCUCCAGCCCUACUCUGAUGCUACCUGGGCUAGUGAUCCCUCUGAUCGACGCUCGCUGUCUGCUUAUUGUGUCUUUCUUGGUGGCUCUCUUAUUGCCUGGAAGACAAAGAAACAGACUGCCGUUUCUCGCUCGAGUACAGAGGCUGAGUUGCGAGCCAUGGCUAUGCUGACGGCUGAGGUGAUCUGGUUACGGUGGUUACUUGAGGACUUUGGUGUGUCUGCUACUACCUCGACUCCCUUAUUGUCAGACAGUACUGGUGCUAUCAGUAUUGCGCGUGACCUGGUGAAGCAUGAGCUCACCAAGCACAUCGGUGUGGAUGCCCACUUUGUGCGUGCUGCUGUGCAGGAUCAGACUCUCGCUCUUCACUAUGUGCCCUCUGAGUUACAGUUGGCGGACUUCUUCACGAAGGCACAGACUCAAGCGCAGCAUCGUUUUCUUCUCUCCAAACUCAGUGUUGUUGAUCCACCAUGAGUUUGAGGGGGGGUGUUAGAUGUGUAUAGUCUCUCUUGCCUUUACCAUACACAUGUAUAUGUACUGGCCCUUGGCCCUCCUGUGAAU